AGAGUUUGAUCCUGGCUCAGAACGAACGCUGGCGGCAGGCCUAACACAUGCAAGUCGAGCGCUGUAGCAAUACAGAGCGGCGCACGGGUGAGUAACACGUGGGAACGUGCCCUUUGGUUCGGAAUAACUCAGGGAAACUUGAGCUAAUACCGGAUGAGCCCUAACGGGGAAAGAUUUAUCGCCGAAGGAGCGGCCCGCGUUGGAUUAGCUAGUUGGUGGGGUAAAAGCCUACCAAGGCAACGAUCCAUAGCUGGUUUGAGAGAACGACCAGCCACACUGGGACUGAGACACGGCCCAGACUCCUACGGGAGGCAGCAGUGGGGAAUCUUGGACAAUGGGGGAAACCCUGAUCCAGCCAUGCCGCGUGAGUGAUGAAGGCCCUAGGGUUGUAAAACUCUUUCGGCGGGGACGAUAAUGACGGUACCCGCAGAAGAAGCUCCGGCUAACUUCGUGCCAGCAGCCGCGGUAAUACGAAGGGGGCUAGCGUUGUUCGGAAUUACUGGGCGUAAAGCGCGCGCAGGCGGUUCUUCAAGUCAGAGGUGAAAGCCCAGGGCUCAACCCUGGAAUGGCCUUUGAGACUAGAGGACUUGGGUACGGGAGAGGUGAGUGGAAUUCCGAGUGUAGAGGUGAAAUUCGUAGAUAUUCGGAAGAACACCAGUGGCGAAGGCGGCUCACUGGCCCGUUACCGACGCUCAGGCGCGACAGCGUGGGGAGCAAACAGGAUUAGAUACCCCAGUAGUCC
RNAcentral lists this ribosomal RNA (742 nucleotides) under uncultured bacterium. Its description in RNAcentral is "bacterial SSU rRNA". It matches the Rfam family "Bacterial small subunit ribosomal RNA", at positions 8 to 796 of the family's 1533-position model. The record is from RNAcentral.